RNAcentral lists this ribosomal RNA (428 nucleotides) under uncultured bacterium. RNAcentral describes it as "bacterial SSU rRNA". It matches the Rfam family "Bacterial small subunit ribosomal RNA", at positions 917 to 1344 of the family's 1533-position model. The record is from RNAcentral.
GGGCCCGCACAAGCGGUGGAGUAUGUGGUUUAAUUCGAUGCAACGCGAAGAACCUUACCAGGGUUUGACAUCCUGCGAAUCUCUUGGAAACAGGAGAGUGCCUUCGGGAACGCAGUGACAGGUGGUGCAUGGCUGUCGUCAGCUCGUGCCGUGAGGUGUCAGGUUAAGUCCUAUAACGAGCGCAACCCCUGUGGUUAGUUGCCAGCGAGUCAUGUCGGGAACUCUAGCCAGACUGCCGGUGCAAACCGCGAGGAAGGUGGGGAUGACGUCAAAUCAUCACGGCCCUUACGUCCUGGGCCACACACGUGCUACAAUGGUAGGUACAGAGGGCAGCUACACAGCGAUGUGAUGCGAAUCUCAAAAAGCCUAUCGUAGUCCAGAUUGGAGUCUGCAACUCGACUCCAUGAAGUAGGAAUCGCUAGUAAUCG